Molecule: long non-coding RNA, 541 nt
Organism: Gallus gallus (chicken)
Lineage: Eukaryota; Metazoa; Chordata; Aves; Galliformes; Phasianidae
Exons: 4
Source: RefSeq, a predicted model, not a curated record
AAACAGCAGCUACUAGUAUGGCAGCACGAGGUAUCUGACACUGGUCCUAGAGCUGCAUAUCCAUGAACAUCCUCAGCAUGCACUGGAUGUUCCAAAUUAUCUUCCACCUCUGCCAACACCAGAUGAACUGAAUUGCUCACAGAUUGGAACUGCUGACAUAAACCGUCAAUUUAACACCUGGGACAGUCCAAUCCUUAUCUUCGUGUUUCCACUAAGGUGAAUUCAACCACUGCACUUCAAUCAACUUCAGCAUGAGCCUGAUUAACUCAGAGCAUUGGCGGUCUGCACUAAACAACCCAUCAUCUGGCAGUCACUCACACUUUGCCUUCCUGUGGUGUGGCAGAUGGCAGUUUUCACCCCAGCUAUCCCUGCAGCCCAAGGCAGAUGGCAAGACUCCUUGGUCUGUGCUGACAAACUAAGGCUUCCUCAGUGAUCAAAUAAGAUACUCCCAACCUAAUUCUGGCUCACCUGGAGCUGCCUCUGCAUCUGGAGAUGUGAUAUCACAGGGAAUAAAACACUGCUCAAACUGUGGUGUUAUGGA